GACGAACGCUGGCGGCGUGCUUAACACAUGCAAGUCGAACGGAAAGGCCCUGCUUUUGUGGGGUGCUCGAGUGGCGAACGGGUGAGUAACACGUGAGUAACCUGCCCUUGACUUUGGGAUAACUUCAGGAAACUGGGGCUAAUACCGGAUAGGAGCUCCUGCUGCAUGGUGGGGGUUGGAAAGUUUCGGCGGUUGGGGAUGGACUCGCGGCUUAUCAGCUUGUUGGCGGGGUAGUGGCUUACCAAGGCUUUGACGGGUAGCCGGCCUGAGAGGGUGACCGGCCACAUUGGGACUGAGAUACGGCCCAGACUCCUACGGGAGGCAGCAGUGGGGAAUAUUGCACAAUGGGCGGAAGCCUGAUGCAGCAACGCCGCGUGCGGGAUGACGGCCUUCGGGUUGUAAACCGCUUUCGCCUGUGACGAAGCGUGAGUGACGGUAAUGGGUAAAGAAGCACCGGCUAACUACGUGCCAGCAGCCGCGGUGAUACGUAGGGUGCGAGCGUUGUCCGGAUUUAUUGGGCGUAAAGGGCUCGUAGGUGGUUGAUCGCGUCGGAAGUGUAAUCUUGGGGCUUAACCCUGAGCGUGCUUUCGAUACGGGUUGACUUGAGGAAGGUAGGGGAGAAUGGAAUUCCUGGUGGAGCGGUGGAAUGCGCAGAUAUCAGGAGGAACACCAGUGGCGAAGGCGGUUCUCUGGGCCUUUCCUGACGCUGAGGAGCGAAAGCGUGGGGAGCGAACAGGCUUAGAUACCCUGGUAGUCCACGCUGUAAACGGUGGGUACUAGGUGUGGGGUCCAUUCCACGGGUUCCGUGCCGUAGCUAACGCUUUAAGUACCCCGCCUGGGGAGUACGGCCGCAAGGCUAAAACUCAAAGGAAUUGACGGGGCCCCGCACAAGCGGCGGAGCAUGCGGAUUAAUUCGAUGCAACGCGUAGAACCUUACCUGGGUUUGACAUGGAUCGGGAGCGCUCAGAGAUGGGUGUGCCUCUUUUGGGGUCGGUUCACAGGUGGUGCAUGGCUGUCGUCAGCUCGUGUCGUGAGAUGUUGGGUUAAGUCCCGCAACGAGCGCAACCCUUGUUCACUGUUGCCAGCACGUUAUGGUGGGGACUCAGUGGAGACCGCCGGGGUCAACUCGGAGGAAGGUGGGGAUGACGUCAAGUCAUCAUGCCCCUUAUGUCCAGGGCUUCACGCAUGCUACAAUGGCUGGUACAGAGAGUGGCGAGCCUGUGAGGGUGAGCGAAUCUCGGAAAGCCGGUCUCAGUUUGGAUUGGGGUCUGCAACUCGACCUCAUGAAGUCGGAGUCGCUAGUAAUCGCAGAUCAGCAACGCUGCGGUGAAUACGUUCCCGGGGCUUGUACACACCGCCCGUCAAGUCAUGAAAGUUGGUAACACCCGAAGCCGGUGGCCUAACCGUUGUGGGGGAGCCGUCGAAGGUGGGACUGGUGAUUAGGACU
RNAcentral lists this ribosomal RNA (1447 nucleotides) under uncultured bacterium. RNAcentral's name for it is "bacterial SSU rRNA". It matches the Rfam family "Bacterial small subunit ribosomal RNA". The record is from RNAcentral.